CUGCGUCCCACUAGGAGGGGGCAGGGACGGGACGUGGGAAAAUGACUACGCGUCACUCGUGAUGUCGCGCAUCCGAUAGGCCCUUUUCAGAUGGCAAAAGGCCUGAGGGUGAAUCUGGGCGAGCUGGUUGAGUCCAUGCGUUUGUGCUUCCUCUCAGUCCACUUUCGCUUACGAUGGGGCGACUCUUGUCCAUCGUCACCUCACCGGGAAACUUUUCCUGCCGGGCCAGUUAAUGGUCCCCUGUACCAUCCCCAUCCUGAGUGACUACUAAGCAGCCGCAGCGACUCGGGGUUGCUCCGUGACCACGUUACUCAGUUAACCUUCUUGUUCCCUGGAGAGGCGGAGCUGAAUGGCCCGGACGGGGUUUCUCCAUGUUUCCCAGGCUGGUCUCAAACUCCUGGACUCAAGCAAUCUGCCCACCUUGCCUCCCAAAAUGCUCCUCCAAAAAAGGAGUGUGCCGCCACACCCAGCCUGAGCAACUUUUGUUUUUAAGGUGAAGGACAUGUUUGCUUCCCUUUCCACCAUGAUUGCAAGUUUCCUGAGGCCUCCCUAGCCAUGCUGAACUGUGAGUCAAUUAAACCUCUUUCUUUUAUGAAUUAUCCAGUCUUGGGUAUGUCUUUAUUAGCAGUGUGAGAAUGGACUAAUACAGAGGUGUGCUUUAUUAAUAAUGCUACUCAUUUGUUUCCUAAUUUGCUUUAAUAGAGAAGAGCAGUUUCCUUGGCCUGGAAUUGUACAAAAGCCAUGGCUUAUCUUUUCAUGGCUUAUCCUAUUGAAAGUGACCUCUAUUGAGAUACUAUUAAUAGUUAUAGCUACAAAUAAAUUAGUUUAAUACUUUGCCUGCAACCAUUUUUUCUUGGUUUCAUUAAAACCUGGUUGUGCACUUGUGAAUAUCUUCCAUUAUAUUUCCCAGAAGAAAGACAGAUUGAGAAUGACUAAUGGAAAGAAUGUGGAAAGAGGCAAAUAAGAAUACCAGUUGGAGAUGAUCUCAAUCAUCUUCAUGAAAGGUGAUGUGAACUUAGGCAACAUUUUUGUAGAUGAGAAGAGGACAAGGAUAUGGAAACGUUAAGUGGUAAAAUUAAUAGAGCAUGCUCAUCAAUAGGAUGUGGAAAAUGAGGAAGAGAGAGUUAAAUAGUAAUAACCUUUUUAUGUGUGACUCACAUUAUAUAUUGAUAUUUAUAAAAAUUCAAUUUCAGGAUUAGAUUUUGGUACAAGACUGCGUGGAGUGGGGUAGGCAAAAGUUAGUGUAAAUAUUCUUUUUCUUAAAAUAACUAUUGAGUACUAGGCUUAGCACUUGGGUGACUAAACAAUAUGUACAACAAACUCCUAUGACAUGCAUUUACUUAUAUAACAAACCUACAUGUGUACCCCUG
RNAcentral lists this long non-coding RNA (1370 nucleotides) under Homo sapiens (human). RNAcentral describes it as "HSALNT0044594". The record is from RNAcentral. Lineage: Eukaryota; Metazoa; Chordata; Mammalia; Primates; Hominidae.